This 468-nucleotide ribosomal RNA is filed under the name uncultured bacterium. Its description in RNAcentral is "partial 16S ribosomal RNA". It matches the Rfam family "Bacterial small subunit ribosomal RNA", at positions 28 to 507 of the family's 1533-position model. The record is from RNAcentral.
GACGAACGCUGGCGGCGUGCUUAACACAUGCAAGUCGAACGGAAAGGCCCUGCUUUUGUGGGGUGCUCGAGUGGCGAACGGGUGAGUAACACGUGAGUAACCUGCCCUUGACUUUGGGAUAACUGCAGGAAACUGGGGCUAAUACCGGAUAGGAGCUCCUGCUGCAUGGUGGGGGUUGGAAAGUUUCGGCGGUUGGGGAUGGACUCGCGGCUUAUCAGCUUGUUGGUGGGGUAGUGGCUUACCAAGGCUUUGACGGGUAGCCGGCCUGAGAGGGUGACCGGCCACAUUGGGACUGAGAUACGGCCCAGACUCCUACGGGAGGCAGCAGUGGGGAAUAUUGCACAAUGGGCGGAAGCCUGAUGCAGCAACGCCGCGUGCGGGAUGACGGCCUUCGGGUUGUAAACCGCUUUAGCCUGUGACGAAGCGUGAGUGACGGUAAUGGGUAAAGAAGCACCGGCUAACUACGUG